UACAGAGGUCUCAAGCGUUGUUCGGAUUCAUUGGGCGUAAAGGGUGCGUAGGUGGCGCCGUAAGUCGGGUGUGAAAUUUCGGAGCUUAACUCCGAAACUGCAUUCGAUACUGCGGUGCUUGAGGACUGGAGAGGAGACUGGAAUUCAUGGUGUAGCAGUGAAAUGCGUAGAGAUCAUGAGGAAGACCAGUGGCGAAGGCGGGUCUCUGGACAGUUCCUGACACUGAGGCACGAAGGCCAGGGGAGAAAACGGG
Molecule: ribosomal RNA, 253 nt
Filed under: uncultured bacterium
Lineage: Bacteria
Description: partial 16S ribosomal RNA
Rfam family: Bacterial small subunit ribosomal RNA
Source: RNAcentral